GAUGAACGCUGGCGGCGUGCCUAAUACAUGCAAGUCGAGCGAACAGACGAGGAGCUUGCUCCUCCGACGUUAGCGGCGGACGGGUGAGUAACACGUGGAUAACCUACCUAUAAGACUGGGAUAACUUCGGGAAACCGGAGCUAAUACCGGAUAAUAUAUUGAACCGCAUGGUUCAAUAGUGAAAGACGGUUUUGCUGUCACUUAUAGAUGGAUCCGCGCCGCAUUAGCUAGUUGGUAAGGUAACGGCUUACCAAGGCAACGAUGCGUAGCCGACCUGAGAGGGUGAUCGGCCACACUGGAACUGAGACACGGUCCAGACUCCUACGGGAGGCAGCAGUAGGGAAUCUUCCGCAAAGGGCGAAAGCCUGACGGAGCAACGCCGCGUGAGUGAUGAAGGUCUUCGGAUCGUAAAACUCUGUUAUUAGGGAAGAACAAAUGUGUAAGUAACUAUGCACGUCUUGACGGUACCUAAUCAGAAAGCCACGGCUAACUACGUG
Molecule: ribosomal RNA, 497 nt
Filed under: uncultured bacterium
Lineage: Bacteria
Description: partial 16S ribosomal RNA
Rfam family: Bacterial small subunit ribosomal RNA
Source: RNAcentral